CCGCGGUAUUCCAGCUCCAAUAGCGUAUAUUAAAGUUGCUGCAGUUAAAAAGCUCGUAGUUGGAUCUGGGGACAAAUACGGAUGGUUCGCUUUCGGGCGUGACUGUCUGUGUGUUCCUACACUGUCGUGGUUGCCUUUGGUGUUCUUCACUGAAUGCUAUUGGUGCCCGACCUGAUUACUUUGAAAAAAUUAGAGUGCUUAAAGCAGGCCUUGUGCUUGUAUAUUGUUGCAUGGAAUAAUGGAAUAGGACUUCGGUUCUAUUUUGUUGGUUUUCGGAAUUGAAGUAAUGAUUAACAGAGACUGCCGGGGGCAUAAGUAUACUGGGGCUAGAGGUGAAAUUCUUGGACCCUCAGUAGACUACCUAUUGCGAAAGCAUUUGCCAAGAAUGUUUUCACUAAUCAAGAACGAAAGUCAGAGGUUCGAAGACGAUCAGAUACCGUCCUAGUUCUGACCAUAAAUGAUAUCAACUAAUUAUUGGCAAAGGCGCUUGUUCGCCCGAGCCAGCAGCCUCCGGGAAACCAAAGUUUUUGGAUCCCGGGGGUAGUAUGGUUGCAAGACUGAAACUUAAAGGAAUUGACGGAAGGGCACCACCAGGAGUGGAGCCUGCGGCUUAAUUUGACUCAACACGGGGAACCUCACCCGGCCCGGACACUCGAAGGAUUGACAGAUUAAUUGCUCUUUCUUAAUUUAGUGGUUGGUGGUGCAUGGCCGUUCUUAGUUGGUGGAGUGAUUUGUCU
Molecule: ribosomal RNA, 737 nt
Filed under: uncultured eukaryote
Lineage: Eukaryota
Description: SSU rRNA
Rfam family: Eukaryotic small subunit ribosomal RNA
Source: RNAcentral